CAAGACUAGUUGGGCAUCCACCAUCUCCACAUCCAAAGCUUGUUUGGGUGUCCCUCUUGCUAGUUUCAAGCUCUUGGUUGCUUCUAGAUCAAUAGAAGGAGAUCAAGAGAAGAGUAGAAAAGAAGAAGAUCAAGGAAAGAUCAAGAGUUGAUCACAAGAUUUAGACUUGGUUCAGAUUCGUAAGAAGAUUAUUUUUGGAGAAGAAAAAUCUACAUCAAAGAGGG
RNAcentral lists this long non-coding RNA (224 nucleotides) under Elaeis guineensis (African oil palm). Its description in RNAcentral is "long non-coding RNA (EGUI_LNC029922)". Lineage: Eukaryota; Viridiplantae; Streptophyta; Magnoliopsida; Arecales; Arecaceae. The record is from RNAcentral.